UAAAACUCGUACCUUUUGCAUCAUGAUUUAGUUAGAAAAACUCAAGCAAAAAGCAUUUUAGUUUGAUUUCCCGAAACUAAGUGAGCUACUCCAAGACAGCCUAUUUAUAGGGCACACCCGUCUCUGUGACAAAAGAGUGGGAAGAGCUUCGAGUAGAGGUGAUAAACCUAUCGAACUUAGUGAUAGCUGGUUGCCCGAAAAAUGGAUUAAAGUUCAGCCUCUCAGCUUCUUUAUAAACCGAGAGAGUUAUUCAAAUGGGGAACAGCCCAUUUGAAGAAGGAUACAACUUUAAUAGGUGAAUAAAGAUCAUAUAAACAAAAGGUAAUAUGUUUUAGUGGGCCCAAGAGCAGCCAUCUCAGUAGAAAGCGUUAAAGCUCAGACAUUAAAUUCCGAUACUCAAUCUCACACCCUAAACAUAUCAGGCUAUCCUAUGCAUACAUAGGAGUAAUUAUGCUAAUAUGAGUAAUAAGAAGGAACCUUCUCCUUGCAUUCGUGUAACUCGGAAUGGACCAUCCACCGAAAUUUAACGCCCCCAAAUAAAGAGGGUAUUGAAAAAUAACCAGAAAAAUAUUCACCGUUAAACCAACACAGGCAUGCUUUUAAGGAAAGACUAAAAAGAAAAGAAGGAACUCGGCAAACAAGCCUCGCCUGUUUACCAAAAACAUCGCCUCUUGUAAAAAUAAGAGGUCCCGCCUGCCCUGUGACUAUAUGUUUAACGGCCGCGGUAUUUUAACCGUGCGAAGGUAGCGCAAUCACUUGUCUUUUAAAUGAAGACCUGUAUGAAUGGCAUAACGAGGGCUUAACUGUCUCCUUUUCUAAGUCAAUGAAAUUGAUCUUUCCGUGCAGAAGCGGGAAUAAUAUCAUAAGACGAGAAGACCCUAUGGAGCUUUAGACAAAAGGUAGAUCAUACUAAAUACCCUAAACAAAGGCUUAAAAUAAAAGAAUACUACCCUUAUGUCUUCGGUUGGGGCGACCGCGGGGCACAUAAAACCCCCACGUGGACUGAGAGAACUCCCAAAACUAAGAGCCCCCACUCUAGUAAACAGAACUUCUGACCAAAAAUGAUCCGGCAACGCCGAUCAACGGACCAAGUUACCCUAGGGAUAACAGCGCAAUCCCCUUUUAGAGUUCAUAUCGACAAGGGGGUUUACGACCUCGAUGUUGGAUCAGGACAUCCUAAUGGUGCAG
Molecule: ribosomal RNA, 1188 nt
Filed under: Gadopsis marmoratus
Lineage: Eukaryota; Metazoa; Chordata; Actinopteri; Centrarchiformes; Percichthyidae
Description: partial 16S ribosomal RNA
Rfam family: Bacterial large subunit ribosomal RNA
Source: RNAcentral